CUCGUAGCAUAUAGCUCAGUAACACGUGGUCAAGCAACCCUGCAGACACGGACAACCUCGGGAAACUGAGGCUAAUCCGCGAUACCGAUCCCACGCUGGAAUGCCGGGAUCCACAAACGCUCCGGCGCUGCAGGAUGCGGCUGCGGCCGAUUAGGUAGACGGUGGGGUAACGGCCCACCGUGCCGAUAAUCGGUACGGGUUGUGAGAGCAAGAGCCCGGAGACGGAAUCUGAGACAAGAUUCCGGGCCCUACGGGGCGCAGCAGGCGCGAAACCUUUACACUGCACGCAAGUGCGAUAAGGGGACUCCGAGUGCGAGGGCAUAUAGUCCUCGCUUUUGAGAACCGUAAGGCGGUUCUCGAAUAAGAGCUGGGCAAGACCGGUGCCAGCCGCCGCGGUAAUACCGGCAGCUCAAGUGAUGGCCAAUCUUAUUGGGCCUAAAGCGUCCGUAGCUGGCCACGAAAGUCCGUCGGGAAAUCCAUCUGCCCAACAGAUGGGCGUCCGGCGGAAACUUCGUGGCUUGGGACCGGAAGGCUCGAGGGGUACGUCCGGGGUAGGAGUGAAAUCCCGUAAUCCUGGACGGACCGCCGAUGGCGAAAGCACCUCGAGAAGACGGAUCCGACAGUGAGGGACGAAAGCUAGGGUCUCGAACCGGAUUAGAUACCCGGGUAGUCCUAGCCGUAAACAAUGUUCACUAGGUGUGGCACAGGCUACGAGCCUGUGCUGUGCCGUAGGGAAGCCGAGAAGUGAACCGCCUGGGAAGUACGUCCGCAAGGAUGAAACUUAAAGGAAUUGGCGGGGGAGCACUACAACCGGAGGAGCCUGCGGUUUAAUUGACUCAACGCCGGACAUCUCACCAGCUCCGACUACNGUAAUGACGAUCAGUUGAUGACUUUAUCACG
Molecule: ribosomal RNA, 900 nt
Filed under: Halogeometricum borinquense
Lineage: Archaea; Methanobacteriati; Methanobacteriota; Halobacteria; Halobacteriales; Haloferacaceae
Description: bacterial SSU rRNA
Rfam family: Archaeal small subunit ribosomal RNA
Source: RNAcentral